ACGGAAGGCAGCAGUGAGGAAUAUUGGUCAAUGGACGGAAGUCUGAACCAGCCAAGUAGCGUGAGGGAUGACGGCCCUAUGGGUUGUAAACCUCUUUUGUGAGGGAAUAAAGUGCGCCACGUGUGGUGUAUUGCAUGUACCUUACGAAUAAGGAUCGGCUAACUCCGUGCCAGCAGCCGCGGUAAUACGGAGGAUCCGAGCGUUAUCCGGAUUUAUUGGGUUUAAAGGGAGCGUAGGCGGAAGGUCAAGUCAGCUGUGAAAUGUAGUCGCUCAACGUCUGCACUGCAGUUGAAACUGGCCUCCUUGAGUGCGUAAGAGGCAGGUGGAAUUCGUCGUGUAGCGGUGAAAUGCUUAGAUAUGACGAAGAACUCCGAUUGGGAAGCCAGCUUACUGUAGCGCCACUGACGCUGAUGCUCGAAAGCGUGGGUAUCGAACAGGAUUAGAUACCCUGGUA
Molecule: ribosomal RNA, 454 nt
Filed under: uncultured Prevotellaceae bacterium
Lineage: Bacteria; Pseudomonadati; Bacteroidota; Bacteroidia; Bacteroidales; Prevotellaceae
Description: partial 16S ribosomal RNA
Rfam family: Bacterial small subunit ribosomal RNA
Source: RNAcentral